GUACUUGCUCUGGCAGCACAUAUACUAAAAUUGGAACAAUACAAAGAAGAUUAGUAUGCCCCCCCACCCAAGGAUGACACACAAAUUCAUGAAGUAUUCCAUAUUUUU
Molecule: small nuclear RNA, 108 nt
Organism: Gracilinanus agilis (Agile Gracile Mouse Opossum)
Lineage: Eukaryota; Metazoa; Chordata; Mammalia; Didelphimorphia; Didelphidae
Source: RefSeq, a predicted model, not a curated record